GUCAAAUUGGCCGGAAGGCCUAACUGGAUCCACGCUUCCCAUUGCAAGAAGACACCUGCCCCAGAGGAAGCUAACUCUAUGCAACCAUGUGCCUCUGGUACAUUAUCUCCUUAGUUGGCCUCCUUAAAGCCCAGCAGGUGGCCAUCACCAAAGAUGCUAGUGGGUACACCUUCUGGUAUAAUUCAUCAUGUACCCGUGUGGCUACUUAUACUUUUGACUACUGUGACAUCGUAGAAUGCCCAUUCCCCACGUCACAGAUUCAGAAUAUCUAUAGAGAUAUCCC
Non-coding RNA from Pelobates cultripes (western spadefoot toad), 283 nucleotides. Lineage: Eukaryota; Metazoa; Chordata; Amphibia; Anura; Pelobatidae. The record is from the annotation of a GenBank genome assembly.